GACGAACGCUAGCGGCGUGCCUAAUACAUGCAAGUAGAACGCAGUGGGGACGGGUGAGUAACACGUGGGUAACCUCCCAUCAGAGGGGAUAACACUUGGAAACAGGUGCUAAACCGAUACUGAUGGAUGGACCCGCGGUGCAUUAGCUAGUUGGUGAGGUAACGGCACACCAAGGCCACGAUGCAUAGCCGGCCUGAUAGGGGGUUCGGCCACACUGUGACUGAGACACGGCCCAGACUCCUAGGGGAGGAAGCAUUAGGGAAUCUUCGGCAAUGGACGAAAGUCUGACCGAGCAACGCCGCGUGAGUGAAGAAGGUUUUCGGAUCGUAAAACUCUGUUGUUAGAGAAGCGGUAUCUAACCAGAAAGCCACGGCUAACUACGUGCCAGCCGCCGCGGUAAUAC
RNAcentral lists this ribosomal RNA (403 nucleotides) under uncultured bacterium. RNAcentral describes it as "partial 16S ribosomal RNA". It matches the Rfam family "Bacterial small subunit ribosomal RNA", at positions 28 to 526 of the family's 1533-position model. The record is from RNAcentral.